UCCAGACUCCUACGGGAGGCAGCAGUGGGGGAUAUUGCACAAUGGGGGCAACCCUGAUGCAGCGACGCCGCGUGAGCGAUGGAGUACUUCGGUAUGUAAAGCUCUGUCAGCAGGGAAGAGAAUGACGGUACCUGACCAAGAAGCCCCGGCUAAAUACGUGCCAGCAGCCGCGGUAAUACGUAUGGGGCAAGCGUUAUCCGGAUUUACUGGGUGUAAAGGGAGCGUAGACGGAAAGGCAAGUCAGAAGUGAAAGCCCAAGGCUCAACCAUGGGACUGCUUUUGAAACUGUCAAACUAGAGUACGGGAGAGGUAAGAGGAAUUCCUAGUGUAGCGGUGAAAUGCGUAGAUAUUAGGAGGAACACCAGUGGCGAAGGCGUCUUACUGGACCGAAACUGACGUUGAGGCUCGAAAGCGUGGGGAGCAAACAGGAUUAGAUACCCCCGUAA
Molecule: ribosomal RNA, 446 nt
Filed under: uncultured bacterium
Lineage: Bacteria
Description: bacterial SSU rRNA
Rfam family: Bacterial small subunit ribosomal RNA
Source: RNAcentral